GGCGGUAUAGCUCAGUCGGUAGAGCAAGGGACUCAUAAGCCCUGUGUCGCAGGUUCGAUUCCUGCUGCCGCUACCA
Molecule: transfer RNA, 76 nt
Filed under: Tengunoibacter tsumagoiensis
Lineage: Bacteria; Bacillati; Chloroflexota; Ktedonobacteria; Ktedonobacterales; Dictyobacteraceae
Description: tRNA-Met
Rfam family: tRNA
About the family: Transfer RNA (tRNA) molecules are approximately 80 nucleotides in length. Their secondary structure includes four short double-helical elements and three loops (D, anti-codon, and T loops). Further hydrogen bonds mediate the characteristic L-shaped molecular structure. tRNAs have two regions of fundamental functional importance: the anti-codon, which is responsible for specific mRNA codon recognition, and the 3' end, to which the tRNAs corresponding amino acid is attached (by aminoacyl-tRNA synthetases). tRNAs cope with the degeneracy of the genetic code in two manners: having more than one tRNA (with a specific anti-codon) for a particular amino acid; and 'wobble' base-pairing, i.e. permitting non-standard base-pairing at the 3rd anti-codon position.
Source: RNAcentral